This is a long non-coding RNA of Humulus lupulus (European hop), 1073 nucleotides long. RefSeq lists it as uncharacterized. NCBI's taxonomy places the organism in Eukaryota, Viridiplantae, Streptophyta, Magnoliopsida, Rosales, Cannabaceae. The record is from RefSeq and is a predicted model, not a curated record. The transcript has 4 exons.
UAUGACUCUAGUAACUUGUAGACAACUGAAACCAAAACAGAGUUCUCCUUCUUCACACGCUCAUCAACUUUCUCCUUUCCUCCUUUGGAAUUUUUGAAGCCAACGUGAAGAAAUAAGCUAGGAAAUUAAAGGUUUGAGCUUAGGAUCUUGGUUCAUCCAUUGAAGAGGACUCAAAACUAGCUUGAGGUGACUGCUAAGGAACUAAAAGACAAAUUGUUCUCAAGGGUCGUUCUUUUAUUAAUUUUCGCUUGAACCAGAGGAUCGGCGUUGGUCGCGUAUUACUGACCUGAGAGUCAGAAAUGGCAUAAGCGUCAUGAACGCAGAGCCGAUAAAAGAUUAGAUCUAAUCAAUAUCAGUGUUGAAUGACUCAAAGAGCAUUAAUGUUGGACCAACUCGAAGGUCGAUGAAAAUUAUAAGCGCUUGUCUAGUCUAAGACUAGUUACUCAGAGUCAGGGCCAAAGGCCUAGGUGACUGUUUUGUCACAUGGCUGAGGGAGCGGAAUCCCAUGUUAGUGACUUGAUAAUUAGUCACUCGUUUAAAUGUACAGACCCCCUGUUAGUGACUUGAUAAUUAGUCACUCAUUUAAAGGUACAGACCCCCUGUUAGUGACUUGAUAAUUAGUCACUCGUUUAAAGGUAAAGGCAAAAGAAAGCUAGACCAUCCUUGAGUUGGAGAGCUUAGCUAACGAUGUGUACAUAUGCAGCUGCUUGACCGCCACGGCCGAGGGUUGAAAGAGGAACUAGGGUUAAACCCUGUUCUGCCGCUUAGAUUGGCUGGUUGUAAAUAUUUUCUUGUAAUAGACCUUUAAAUUAUAUUUUUGGGAUCCCAAUGUAUACAGUAAACGUUCUAAUGAAACGUUAUAUCUUAACCAAAAUUUUUAAUCCCUACAUCGCUAAUCAUACUUAGUUACACGAUUAUGACCAAAUGACUCGAUUAGUGAGUUUGGCACUGUUUAAAAGGCACACCGUAACGGUACCUGGAGUUUUGAGGCAUUAUAGUUAUAUAUAAAAAAAUUAACUUAUAAUUUCUUUAUGUGCUAAAAAUAGAAACAUUCCUACCAGUGAGAACAAAAA